RNAcentral lists this ribosomal RNA (1818 nucleotides) under Bacteroides uniformis. RNAcentral's name for it is "partial 23S ribosomal RNA". It matches the Rfam family "Bacterial large subunit ribosomal RNA", at positions 1097 to 2925 of the family's 2925-position model. The record is from RNAcentral. Lineage: Bacteria; Pseudomonadati; Bacteroidota; Bacteroidia; Bacteroidales; Bacteroidaceae.
GAUGUUGGCUUAGAAGCAGCCACUCAUUAAAAGAGUGCGUAAUAGCUCACUAGUCAAGAGAUCCUGCGCCGAAAAUGUCCGGGGCUCAAACUUACCACCGAAGCUACGGGUUCAUACUUUGUAUGAGCGGUAGAGGAGCGUCGUAAUCGGGCUGAAGUCGUACCGUAAGGAGCGGUGGACUGAUUACGAGUGAGAAUGUUGGCAUUAGUAGCGAGAUGUAGGUGAGAAUCCUACAGGCCGAAUAUCUAAGGUUUCCUGAGUAAAGUUUGUCUUCUCAGGGUUAGUCGGGACCUAAGGCGAGGCCGAGAGGCGUAGUCGAUGGACAAUUGGUUGAUAUUCCAAUACCACUAUAAUCGUUAUUAUCGAUGGUGUGACGGAGAAGGAUAGGAUGUGCCAGCUAUUGGAUGCUGGUCUAAGCGUUGAGGGAGUUAGAACAGGCAAAUCCGUUCUAACAAUCCUAGGGCGUGAUGGGGAAGGUUCCACGGAACCGAAGUAUCUGAUUUCAUGCUUCCAAGAAAAGCAUCUAGAAAGAGAAGUAGUGCCCGUACCGCAAACCGACACAGGUAGAUGAGGAGAGAAUCCUAAGGCCGACGGAAGAAUCACAGUUAAGGAACUAGGCAAAUUGACCCCGUAACUUCGGGAGAAGGGGUGCCUACCAUUUGGUAGGCCGCAGAGAAUAGGCACAAGCAACUGUUUAACAAAAACACAGGUCUCUGCUAAAGCGUAAGCUGAUGUAUAGGGGCUGACGCCUGCCCGGUGCUGGAAGGUUAAGGGGAACACUUAGCGCAAGCGAAGGUGUGAACUUAAGCCCCAGUAAACGGCGGCCGUAACUAUAACGGUCCUAAGGUAGCGAAAUUCCUUGUCAGGUAAGUUCUGACCCGCACGAAUGGCGUAAUGACUUGUGCACUGUCUCAACUGUGAAUCCGGCGAAGUUGUAGUGCGAGUGAAGAUGCUCGCUACCCGCGAUUGGACGGAAAGACCCCGUAGAGCUUUACUGUAGCUUAGCAUUGAAUUUCGGUAUUGUCUGUACAGGAUAGGUGGGAGACUGGGAAAUUAGGGCGUCAGCCUUAAUGGAGUCGUUGUUGGGAUACCACCCUGAUAGUAUUGAAGUUCUAACUGGAUGCCAUGAAACUGGUGACAGGACAUUGUUAGGUGGGCAGUUUGACUGGGGCGGUCGCCUCCUAAAAUGUAACGGAGGCGCCCAAAGGUUCCCUCAGAACGGUCGGAAAUCGUUCGUAGAGUGUAAAGGCAUAAGGGAGCCUGACUGCGAGACCUACAAGUCGAGCAGGGACGAAAGUCGGGCUUAGUGAUCCGGUGGUACCUCGUGGGAGGGCCAUCGCUCAACGGAUAAAAGCUACCUCGGGGAUAACAGGCUGAUCUCCCCCAAGAGUUCACAUCGACGGGGAGGUUUGGCACCUCGAUGUCGGCUCGUCGCAUCCUGGGGCUGAAGUAGGUCCCAAGGGUUGGGCUGUUCGCCCAUUAAAGCGGCACGCGAGCUGGGUUCAGAACGUCGUGAGACAGUUCGGUCCCUAUCCGUCGCGGGCGUAGGAAAUUUGAGAGGAGCUGUCCUUAGUACGAGAGGACCGGGAUGGACUGACCUAUGGUGUACCAGUUGUUUCGCCAGAAGCAUAGCUGGGUAGCUAAGUCGGGAAGGGAUAAACGCUGAAAGCAUCUAAGUGUGAAGCCCACCUCAAGAUGAGAUUUCCCAUAGCAUAAGCUAGUAAGACCCCUUGAAGACUACAAGGUUGAUAGGUCAGAGGUGUAAGUGCGGUAACGUAUUUAGCUGACUGAUACUAAUAGGUCGAGGGCUUGACCAAU